AUCUAGUUUGACGUUCUUAUAUUGCAUACUGCAUUAAUUUAAGGUGGCACUUUAGUCAACAUUAAUUAUACUACGUCAUUCGCAAUAUUUUACUUUUAUUGCGGGAUCUGAGGGAAUAUCCACAAGAGAAAAAAUCACAUGGUGCGAGUUCAGGUGAAUGGGGAAACCAAGAAAUCUCUCCAUUUUAGGAUAACACACGAUUCAGGAAAAUCUCAUUAACAAUAUUCGUACUCGCGUGUGGUUUCGUCUUGUUGGUAUAAAGUUUGAUCAUUCAAUGCAUGUUGAGGAAUGAAGAAUGACUUUAGCGGUAAUAAACUGCCCCCUUUCAUUUUUUGAAAAAAAAAUGGGCUUAUGAGGACAUGGUAUACCAAAAUGUUACCUUGACUGAGUUGAGAGAUUGUUGAUGAAAUUGAUGAGGGUUUUGAUCAUCCAGUACCUGAAGUUUCGUUUGUUCGUAAAUCCCGAGUAAUGAAAAUUUGCAUCGUCACUCAAAAUCCAGAGGUUGUGAACAAGUUCCUCAUUUUCUUCAACUGUUCCCAAAAACGUUUUGCACAAUUGUCGUCGGGCAACAAAAUCGUUUUCGUCCAAUCCUUCACCACUUGACUUCUGUAAGGCACAAAUGGUACAAAUUUGACCUCAAAAUCCUUAGAAUGAACCUAUCAAAAAUUCCAAGAUCAACACUCUGCAGACGAGCUGACUUUUAAGGGCUUCUUGUUAUAGCACACAUGCUCAACAUUCUCAGGAGUUUGAACGGAUUUAAUACCUCUUUUGCUCAUUGUUCCAUCGAUAUUUUCGAAAUUUGUCACCCACAUAUUUAUUGAAUUACACACAUACAGUAGGCACUGGCUGAUUGCUAUGAAUUUCAACAAAAUGAGCACUACAGCUCACCCCACCCAUUUUCUACAUUUCCACUGUUAUUUCCAAAAUGCAGGAUUGACUGCUGCACCCUGUAUAAAUUAUAUUGUUAUUAAAGCAAUUUUCAAGCAAAGUUGACCAUAUUAAAUAUAUUUUGACUCUAUUUAAUUUAGUAUAAGACACUAAAAAUUUAUCUAUUUCCUCACCAUCAACUUUCCACUCAACCAAUUUCGUUUUUAUGUGUUCUUCUAUAGAUUGUAAUAAUUUAAUAUCAUAAGGAGUAACCAAUGUGAUAGCUUUACCCCCUCUACCUGCUCUUGCAGUUCUACCAACUCUAUGAACAUAUUCUUUGGGAACCUUGGGGACUGUGUGAUUUAAAACUAAUUCGACAGUGGGGAUGUCGAGACCUCUGCUUGCCACAUCAGUUGCUAUGAGCAUUUUUACAGUAUUGCUUUUAAAUCUUGCUAAAGCUGCUAGACGUUGUUGUUGUGGAAUCAUAGCGUGGAGAGCCACAUUUUCGAAUCCUACAUCAUUUAGUGUCAUUGAAAGUACUUGACAGUUUCUACAAAAUAGAAUAUAUACAUCAAAUUGUAACACAAUUAUACUUAAUAUUAUUCCCUGCAAAAUACUCUCCAUUACAACUAAUACAUCUGCCCCGCAGGUUCUUUCACUAUUUGGAACAUUUUUUGUAUUUAUCUAUAGAAAUGACUGAUAGCCCCUUGCGCUUUUUUCACCUUUUCAAUUUUGUAUUUAUGAAUUCUUCUCUUUAACUCUUCGCUCCUCGCUAGGAGCAUUAUCAAAAUCAUUUUAUGUAUAAUUAUUUAAAAAUGUGGUUUAAACUGCACAAAACAUGAAUUGAUAAUUUUUAUUAGAAUUAUUUUUUUAAAAUAUAAUAGCUUAUAUAUCCUUAAUUGUCUAAAGUAUUUAGACUGAUAUCUAAUGUUACAUUUCUUGGUCACAUUAUGUGACAUAAUUAAUGACAUUUUUAGCAAAAAUUUUCUAUUCAUGUUUUGACCAGUUUAAACCACAUUUUUAAAUCAUUUUACAUAUAAUUCUUUUGAUAAUUCUCCUAGUAAGAGCCAAACGUUAAGAGAAGAAAAAUAAAAUCCAAAUAAAAAUCAACCUACAAGUUCAAAAACUUUAGUGUAUAAUUUUGUCACAUCCCACUACGAAAACGCUCAUAAACUAGCUGGCAAAGACAAGACAAAUUUUGUGCAUCUUCCCCUUUUUUUGUUUUUGCCUAAUUUUUCUUUCCAUACUCCCUUCACUGAAAUUGAAUCUUUCAUUCUCAGUAAAUGACCCCACCAACUUAACUGUCUUUGCCCAAUGAAUUCCAUGAGACAUGAUUUCAAGAUCUUGUCAUAUUUGAUCAUUUGUUAAUCAAUUCUUUUUUGUAACUCCUCUUAUAUGCUCAAGAUAUUUUAUCUCUGCAGCUUGGAAUGUACUUUUUUGUCUACUAGGGAGAGUCCAUGUUUCACAUCAGUAAAUCAAAAUUGGUGUAUUAAUUGCUUAAUAAAUAUUUACUUUUGAAUUUCUCAAAACUUCUCUUUUAUUUAUCAAGUAGUUAGCUUAUGCUGUAAUAUGUAAUUAAGGCAUUUUUAGUUCUCUUGGCAAUCUUUGAAUGUUCAUUGUCUGUAUGUUCAACUUCUCUUCCAAGGUAUUUAAAUUUAUUCACUGUUUUAAUCCUAUUUCCUUCUAUAUCUACAUUUAUUGUUUGAGUGCCACUAAUAUGGUUUUUUCCAUAUUUAUCCCCGUCCCUAACUGCUUUAAUGUUUUGUUCCAGAUAUCAAAGUUUUUUCUGUAGAUCUUAGAUGUUUUUUACAAUAUCUACAUAUCAUCAGCAUAUGCUGCCUCGGAUAUUUACACUAUUUGUAGGUUUUAUAUUCAAUGCAUACUUUCUUUCAGUUGGAUGAGCAUAUAUUUAUUAGAUCAUCUAUAUUAAUGUUGAAAAGCAAUGGACUGAAGUCACCACGUUGUCUCAUUCCUCUAAAAGAAAUGGACUCAAGCUACCACUUUAUCUUACUUCUCUGAAAUUCGGUUUUUACCAAUAAUAUGAUUGAUGUUACAUUUAUAUAAGCUCAUAAUUGCAUUUUGUAAAUCAACAUCUAUUUUUCUUCUUUUCAAAUUUUAAGGCAUCUGUCCCAUUGGUACUUCCAUUGUUUGAAAUGAUUUAUAUACUCAUCUGUAGAAAUAGUUGGCAGCCCUUUCAAUUUUGUGGAGUGUGUGUCUUUUCAUGUAUGGAAAGUCACACCACCAUUUGCAAUUGUCACUGAGGAAUAACCAGUUCCUUGUCUUCCACAAGUCAGGUUUUUUCUGAUGAACACUGUUGUGUAGUAUUCUCAACACAAACGUCAUGUAUUAUAUCCUUGAGAAAAAAAAACAAAUCUUGUAAAAUUAUUUUCAUUUCAAAUGCUUUUUUAAUUUAUUAUAUAAUUGAUAAAUAUAUUACUAAUUAGAACUA
Molecule: long non-coding RNA, 3316 nt
Organism: Diorhabda carinulata
Lineage: Eukaryota; Metazoa; Arthropoda; Insecta; Coleoptera; Chrysomelidae
Exons: 2
Source: RefSeq, a predicted model, not a curated record